GGGUCAGUAGGUUGGUCGUGCCACCGGUACGUACUGGUCUCGCUGAUUCCUCCUUCCUGAAGAACCGUAAUGCCAUUAAUUUGGUGUUGCGGGGAAACAGGACUGUUACUUCGAAAAAAUUAGAGUGUUUAAAGCAAGCUAACGCUUGAAUACAUUAGCAUGGAAUGAUGAAAUAGGACGAUCGAUCCUAUUUUGUUGGUUUCUAGGAUUGACGUA
This 216-nucleotide ribosomal RNA is filed under the name Glomeromycotina sp. RNAcentral's name for it is "partial small subunit ribosomal RNA". The stretch from base 44 to 216 matches the Rfam family "Eukaryotic small subunit ribosomal RNA", at positions 690 to 864 of the family's 1831-position model. Lineage: Eukaryota; Fungi; Glomeromycota. The record is from RNAcentral.